CCCUUAGAUGUUCUGGGCCGCACGCGCGCUACAAUGAUGAAUUCAACGAGUUUAUAACCUUGGUUGAAAAGCCUGGGUAAUCUUUUGAACUUUCGUCGUGAUGGGGCUAGACCCUUGCAAUUAUUGGUCUCCAACGAGGAGUUCCUAGUAAACGCAAGUCAUCAGCUUGCAUUGAUUACGUCCCUGCCCUUUGUACACACCGCCCGUCGCACCUACCGAUUGAAUGGUCCGGUGAAAUCUUCGGAUUGAGACUUUGUUUUCUUCACGGAAAACGCUGUUUUAAAAAGUUGAUUAAACCUUACCAUUUAGAGGAAGGUGAAGUCGUAACA
RNAcentral lists this ribosomal RNA (329 nucleotides) under uncultured eukaryote. RNAcentral describes it as "partial 18S ribosomal RNA". It matches the Rfam family "Eukaryotic small subunit ribosomal RNA", at positions 1470 to 1796 of the family's 1831-position model. The record is from RNAcentral.